Molecule: ribosomal RNA, 611 nt
Filed under: Shigella sonnei
Lineage: Bacteria; Pseudomonadati; Pseudomonadota; Gammaproteobacteria; Enterobacterales; Enterobacteriaceae
Description: partial 23S ribosomal RNA
Rfam family: Bacterial large subunit ribosomal RNA
Source: RNAcentral
ACAGCCCCGUACACAAAAAUGCACAUAUUGUGAGCUUGAUGAGUAGGGCGGGACACGUGGUAUCCUGUCUGAAUAUGGGGGGACCAUCCUCCAAGGCUAAAUACUCCUGACUGACCGAUAGUGAACCAGUACCGUGAGGGAAAGGCGAAAAGAACCCCGGCGAGGGGAGUGAAAAAGAACCUGAAACCGUGUACGUACAAGCAGUGGGAGCACGCUUAGGCGUGUGACUGCGUACCUUUUGUAUAAUGGGUCAGCGACUUAUAUUCUGUAGCAAGGUUAACCGAAUAGGGGAGCCGAAGGGAAACCGAGUCUUAACUGGGCGUUAAGUUGCAGGGUAUAGACCCGAAACCCGGUGAUCUAGCCAUGGGCAGGUUGAAGGUUGGGUAACACUAACUGGAGGACCGAACCGACUAAUGUUGAAAAAUUAGCGGAUGACUUGUGGCUGGGGGUGAAAGGCCAAUCAAACCGGGAGAUAGCUGGUUCUCCCCGAAAGCUAUUUAGGUAGCGCCUCGUGAAUUCAUCUCCGGGGGUAGAGCACUGUUUCGGCAAGGGGGUCAUCCCGACUUACCAACCCGAUGCAAACUGCGAAUACCGGAGAAUGUUAUCACGGG